AACGCACAUUGCGCCCAUUAGUAUUCUAGUGGGCAUGCCUGUUCGAGCGUCAUUACAACCCUCAAGCGCUGUAGUGCUUGGUGUUGGGGCUUCUGCUGCUAUUGCAGGCCCUGAAAGCCAGUGGCGGGCUCGCCGUGACCCUGAGCGUAGUAGCAUACACAUCGCUUCUGUGGUUCACGGUGGGUUUCCAGCCGUGAAAACCCUUAAUUUUCACAAGUUUGACCUCGGAUCAGGUAGGAAUACCCGCUGAACUUAA
This 256-nucleotide unclassified non-coding RNA is filed under the name uncultured fungus. RNAcentral's name for it is "partial contains 5.8S ribosomal RNA, internal transcribed spacer 2, and large subunit ribosomal RNA". Lineage: Eukaryota; Fungi. The record is from RNAcentral.